UCACCUAGCUAAAUGUAGCUAUUUACAACGGUAAGAAUUGUGGUUUUGUUAAUUUAAAUUAAGUCUGCAAUAUAAGCUAGCAUAGUAUAAAGUAAUCAAUUUGUUAUACUGACGACGGUAGCUAAUUUUGAAGACAUCAAAAUUAGCUACCGGUUUCUGUUUCUUCACUUCGUCAGUGCACAACUGACUUUUCGUUGAUUGUAGUUAAUAUCUGAGGAUUACGUGGUACGUUUAUUUGCUGUAAUGAUACAUGUUCAGUCUACCACAAAGUGUAAUAACUGGUGAGUAGUUCCUAGAUGCUGCAUCACGCUCCCAAACCAUUGCGACGCCAAAACGAUACCUCUAGCCUAUGUAUUUUUUUAAGUUAAACUAAAAUAUGUCGUGGCAUUUUAUGUCACGUACUCUGUCAGAAUCUCUCUCUUUUAUUAAAUUUUAAAUACUUUAUGUACCUGGUCCCCAAGCAAAUAAAUAAAAUAAUAAAUAAUUGUUUUGUCUGUUUGCAAAUCAAUUUCUUUGAUUUAAUCAGUAAGUUCAAGUAACAAACAAAACAUUAUGUGCUUGGUUUUGUACAGUGCAGGUUGUUUCAGAAAGAGAAGAGUGGAUGGUGUGCACCAGCUGGAUUUUCACAAGCCUUAACUCAUCACACAAGCGUGUAUGAUCACAGAAUGGAUGACCUGAGUGAUUUCCUGAGACAAAGAAUUAUUCCUGAGGAAACUAUUGAGACCAUGCUGAGAGAGAAGAUUGAUAGCAGUGUCAUCCAACUCAUGACAGAUGAAGAGCUAAAGAGUUAUUUGCCAUCAUAUGGAGACCGCAUCGCCCUAUUAGGAUACUGUAAAAGGAAGGAAACUGGUCCCCCAAACAGUCGCAAAUCAAAACUGUUUGAGCGCCUGAAAUCAAAGCUGGGUAAAAGGAAAACUGCCAGAUGGAACUCCUGAGAUGGGAUAUGAUGACGGAGGAGUCGUCAGAGACUGUCUUUCUGAAUUCUGGAAAGAAUUCUAUGACCAAUGUACUACAGGAAACACUUACAGAGUGCCUUUUCUGAGACAUGAUUAUGGACAGAGCCAGUGGGAGAGUGUAGGCCGAAUAAUUGUUUUUGGAUGGACAAGAGAGAAAUAUCUUCCUAUGAAGAUUGCACCUGUCAUACUAGAGCAAGCAGCCUUUGGACAGGUAAAAAGUGAUGUAGUGGAGAAUUUCCUUAAGUGCAUGCCUGAAUCUGAGCGCUUUGUGUUUCAGUCAUGGCAGUCAGACUUCAGCAGUGUUGACCAAGAGGAAUUGAUAGAGAUUCUUGAUAACUACAGUUGCAGACGAAUGCCAACUGCCAGCAACGUAAAUGAAAUCCUCCAGGAGCUUGCACACAAAACACUUGUCCAAGAGCCUGCUUAUGUUAUUGAACAGUGGGCCAAAACACUCAGUAACACCGGGAACAGCUUCCAGGAUCUUUCUUCAGUGUAUGAAAACUUACAACCAAAUGCAAGAAAAGUUUUGAAGUCCAUUGUCUUUCCUCAGGAAAUGAGUGGUCAUCAGAAGGACAUUCAAAAGUAUGUUAGCACAUAUAUCAGGAACGCAGAUUUGCAGCAUCUGUCCUUGUUUCUAAGGUUCUGCACAGGUUCAGACCUGUUCUUGGAUAAGAAAAUUCUUAUUGAUUUUACAAAGAUUCAAGGGUUUCUCAGAAGACCUGUGGCUCACACAUGUAGCUGUGUCCUCGAGCUGUCAAUCUAUUAUGAUAGCUAUCCAGAUUUCAGUGCUGAAAUGAACAAGGUUUUGGACUCUAAUGUAUGGGUCAUGGACAUUAUUUAAAGAUUUUAAAGUGAUGGAGGAAGAGGAAAAAAAAAGAGAUUAAGGUGGCUAUUUAAAGUAACAAGUUGCCUAUCAAAAUCUAAGUAGAUGUUUUCCCCCAAAAUUUCCUUAUCAGAAUUUAAGGUUUUACAGAUAACAAUUUACCAGGGUGAUGUUACCAUUCCCAAAUUUCUACAGAUGUUAUAAAAAGGGAUCACUUAUUUGUGAGAGGUGAAUGUUUGUUUGUGCAGCACAGCUGUUGGUUUGUUUAAGGGUAGAUUGUCAAAACUCUA
Poeciliopsis prolifica (blackstripe livebearer) is the source of this 2069-nucleotide long non-coding RNA. RefSeq lists it as uncharacterized. The transcript has 3 exons. NCBI's taxonomy places the organism in Eukaryota, Metazoa, Chordata, Actinopteri, Cyprinodontiformes, Poeciliidae. The record is from RefSeq and is a predicted model, not a curated record.